RNAcentral lists this ribosomal RNA (463 nucleotides) under uncultured bacterium. RNAcentral describes it as "partial 16S ribosomal RNA". It matches the Rfam family "Bacterial small subunit ribosomal RNA", at positions 30 to 507 of the family's 1533-position model. The record is from RNAcentral.
CGAACGCUGGCGGCGUGCUUAACACAUGCAAGUCGAACGGAAAGGCCCCUUUGGGGGUACUCGAGUGGCGAACGGGUGAGUAACACGUGAGUAACCUGCCCUUGACUUCGGGAUAACUUCAGGAAACUGGGGCUAAUACCGGAUAGGAAUCCUUGCUGCAUGGUGGGGGUUGGAAAGCUUCGGCGGUUUUGGAUGGACUCGCGGCUUAUCAGCUUGUUGGUGGGGUAGUGGCUUACCAAGGCUUUGACGGGUAGCCGGCCUGAGAGGGCGACCGGCCACAUUGGGACUGAGAUACGGCCCAGACUCCUACGGGAGGCAGCAGGGGGGAAUAUUGCACAAUGGGCGGAAGCCUGAUGCAGCAACGCCGCGUGCGGGAUGACGGCCUUCGGGUUGUAAACCGCUUUCAGCAGGGGCGAAGCUUGUGGUGACGGUACCUGCAGAAGAAGCACCGGCUAACUACGUG